This 75-nucleotide transfer RNA is filed under the name Caudoviricetes sp. RNAcentral describes it as "tRNA-Gly". It matches the Rfam family "tRNA". From Rfam's summary of the family: Transfer RNA (tRNA) molecules are approximately 80 nucleotides in length. Lineage: Duplodnaviria; Heunggongvirae; Uroviricota; Caudoviricetes. The record is from RNAcentral.
GCGAAUAUUGUACAGUUGGUUAGUAUAUCUGCCUUCCAAGCAGAAGACGACAGUUCGAAUCUGUUUAUUCGCUCA